ACUCCAGAGAAGCUAGUCUGACUGGAAAUUCUCUGUUCAGUAGAGAUCAGGGAAUACCCUCAAAGGAACCCAGGAGGUGGCAGAGAGAGAAAAAGAAUGAAAAGAGCCCAAGAAAGGCUGAAAUCAGGAGAGCUGUGGGACUCCUGUGUCAAGGAGUAGAAUCUUGUUUGGAUUAUCACAAAGUCAGGAUUGAGUUGUGGGACUACAGGGUCUUCAGCUGGUAAAAGACUCCAUAAAUGAAAUCUCAUACAACAUGGCUAUGGAGCAGCAAAAAUGGGAGCAGCCCAGGGAGAAAAGGAAAUAGCCAAAGAGAGGAAAGAUUAUAAGAGGUGACAGAGCAGAGGGACCCUUCGACAAGCAUAAAGUUCCAGAGCACUGCACGAAUACAAAAAUGUGGAUUUGCAUCCAAUCCACAUCUGCCAGAAUCAACCUGCGAUCCAACCUAUAGUCCGUGAGCCGUCUUUUACCUGCAUCCACAGCCUCAAGCCAUCUCACAAG
This is a long non-coding RNA of Mauremys reevesii (Reeves's turtle), 498 nucleotides long. RefSeq lists it as uncharacterized. The record is from RefSeq and is a predicted model, not a curated record. Lineage: Eukaryota; Metazoa; Chordata; Testudines; Geoemydidae. The transcript is spliced from 3 exons.